GCUGGCGGCAGGCCUAACACAUGCAAGUCGAGCGCUCACUUCGGUGGGAGCGGCGGACGGGUUAGUAACGCGUGGGAAUAUGCCCGGUACUAAGGAAUAGCCUUUGGAAACGAAGAGUAAUACCUUAUACGCCCUUCGGGGGAAAGAUUUAUCGGUAUCGGAUUAGCCCGCGUAAGAUUAGAUAGUUGGUGGGGUAAUGGCCUACCAAGUCUACGAUCUUUAGCUGGUUUUAGAGGAUGAUCAGCAACACUGGGACUGAGACACGGCCCAGACUCCUACGGGAGGCAGCAGUGGGGAAUCUUAGACAAUGGGCGCAAGCCUGAUCUAGCCAUGCCGCGUGAGUGAAGAAGGCCUUAGGGUCGUAAAACUCUUUCGCCAGAGAUGAUAAUGACAGUAUCUGGUAAAGAAACCCCGGCUAACUCCGUGCCAGCAGCCGCGGUAAUACGGAGGGGGUUAGCGUUGUUCGGAAUUACUGGGCGUAAAGCGCACGUAGGCGGACUGGAAAGUUGGGGGUGAAAUCCCGGGGCUCAACCUCGGAACUGCCUCCAAAACUAUCAGUCUAGAGUUCGAGAGAGGUGAGUGGAAUUCCAAGUGUAGAGGUGAAAUUCGUAGAUAUUUGGAGGAACACCAGUGGCGAAGGCGGCUCACUGGCUCGAUACUGACGCUGAGGUGCGAAAGUGUGGGGAGCAAACAGGAUUAGAUACCCUGGUAGUCCACACCGUAAACGAUGAAUGCCAGUCGUCGGCAAGUAUACUUGUCGGUGACACACCUAACGGAUUAAGCAUUCCGCCUGGGGAGUACGGUCGCAAGAUUAAAACUCAAAGGAAUUGACGGG
Molecule: ribosomal RNA, 835 nt
Filed under: uncultured marine bacterium
Lineage: Bacteria
Description: bacterial SSU rRNA
Rfam family: Bacterial small subunit ribosomal RNA
Source: RNAcentral